GUGCCCUGUGGAGAGAGAGAGGACAUGAGGGGUGAGCAGGUGGGUGCCCCGUUAUGGGGGUGGCACAACAGGGAUGUGCUCCAUAGCAUCUGCAGGAAGGAUCAUUGGAAGCUAAAGGGCUGGAGCCCAUGAUUUCCAUUCAGUGACUUAUUGUAGUCCUUCCAGCUUCCUUUAAGUCCUCAUGGGGAGUCUCAGCACCUCCUUACCUCACCCAGUUUGUCCAGUUUAACAUAGGUCUCCAGCUUCCCAAACCCGAUAUCCGACUGUAAGAGAAAAAGGACAACGUCACUGGGAGGGAUCUCACUGGAUGGGGAGCACCAGGAGGGGAUUGCAGUGGGAACAAUCCAUCACAUCCUGCAUGGGAGCCUGUUUGCAUCCAUCAGAACAUCAACACAGCCAACUGCAGCAGCUGAUGCCCUUUGUGUCAGAGCAGCAUGAUGGGACCCUGUGGCAAAGCCCUGCCCUUUGCUUGAGUGCUAUUCUCUUCUCCCCUCCCUCCUCACAAACAGGAAUGUCACAUCUGAAGGUGAUGCUGAGACCUCACUGCUGUGACCGUGUGCUCCCAGGCAGCAGGACUCGCCUUUGCAAUCUGCAAACAGGCCACUGUGGUUUUGCUCCUACAUAUGCUGAUGCUCUGCAGUCAAGAAACUGAAAUGUCAGCAUUAAUGCGAGGGGUAAUUCAUUAUUUAUCCACAUUUGCAUUUCCAUCAGCGGAGGCUCCAGCACUUGGAACACAGCAGGAGGUUCCCCACCUCCGUUUCCCUGGAAGGCUGGGAGAGAAGCCAGGUGUGUGCAAGGUGUAAAACCACAUUGAGCCCAAGGAACCCAGAAAGGAGCAAAAUCAACCAGAGCAAAGUGAAGCACUGAGAAUCCCCCCUGGUCUACAGCAUGAGGAUCACACAUCUUCCCACUGGGUAAUGGUUGGACAAAGACCAGAAGGCAGAGGACAGGCAGCUGCUGCAUGCACUGGUUUGCAGAGGAAGUGCUGUGACCGAAGCCUCAUUAAAGCAGGAGAAGAGGGAAAUUGCCUCUCCAGCAGCUCAGAUGGCACAGUGCAGGUAAUGAGUCCAGGCUCAGCCAGCCCAGCAGUCCCCAGGGGAUAACAGCAGCAGCAGCUGUCAGCACCCGGGGCUUUCUGAGCCUUGCACCAUGUUAUCCCCAUGGCUUCUACAUGUCUAAUUAAGGGCUCGAGUCUAAUUAUAGCCCCAGCUGUUUGCUGGGGUGUGAGCAGAGGGGUGUGAAGCAAAGCUGCUGAGGGCAGCUGGGGUAUCUGUGGGGAUGUGAGGAAUGGCAUGAGCUGCAGGAGAGAGGAAAGGCAGCUCAAAUCAGCCUCUGCAUCUCCUCUUUGAAACAGAGCCCAUCUCUCCAUGCUGGGGCAGGCACAGAUGCCAGGCAGGUACAUCAUGGCCUCAUCCCCUGCUUACAGCAAUUGUGGCUGUGGGACAGCACCAGCAUGACCUGAGUGGAGCCCAGAUUUAACAACACAGUUAAACACAGUCUUGUUAAUCCCACUGCCUCCAUAGGGAGAGCAGCCUUGGGUGGUGGGGCAGCAGCUUU
Non-coding RNA from Coturnix japonica (Japanese quail), 1557 nucleotides. Lineage: Eukaryota; Metazoa; Chordata; Aves; Galliformes; Phasianidae. The record is from RefSeq and is a predicted model, not a curated record.